RNAcentral lists this ribosomal RNA (417 nucleotides) under uncultured bacterium. Its description in RNAcentral is "partial 16S ribosomal RNA". It matches the Rfam family "Bacterial small subunit ribosomal RNA", at positions 331 to 766 of the family's 1533-position model. The record is from RNAcentral.
CCAGACUCCUACGGGAGGCAGCAGUGGGGAAUAUUGCACAAUGGGCGAAAGCCUGAUGCAGCAACGCCGCGUGAGCGAUGAAGGCCUUCGGGUCGUAAAGCUCUGUCCUCAAGGAAGAUAAUGACGGUACUUGAGGAGGAAGCCCCGGCUAACUACGUGCCAGCAGCCGCGGUAAUACGUAGGGGGCUAGCGUUAUCCGGAAUUAUUGGGGGUAAAGGGGGCGUAGGUGGUUACUUAAGUCAGAGGUGAAAGGCUCGGGCUCAACCGUGGUAAGCCUUUGAAACUGGGAAACUUGAGUGCAGGAGAGGAGAGUGGAAUUCCUAGUGGAGCGGUGGAAUGCGUAGAUAUUAGGAGGAACACCAGUUGCGAAGGCGGCUCUCUGGGCUGUAACUGGCGUUGAGGCCCGAAGGCGUGGGG